UAUCUCUGUAGAGUCUGCAUAUCAAUAAGCGGAGGAAAAGAAACUAACUAGGAUUCCCUCAGUAACGGCGAGUGAAGCGGGAAGAGCUCAAAUUUGAAAUCUUCAAGGUUCUACCUUGACGAAUUGUAGUUUAAAGAAGUGUUUUCUGUUGGAGUUUUGGUAAAAGUUCUUUGGAAUAGGACAUCAUAGAGGGUGAGAAUCCCGUAUUUGACCAUUAUUUCCAACUUUGUGAUACACUUUCAAAGAGUCGGAUUGUUUGGGAAUGCAGUCCAAAAUGGGUGGUAAAUUUCAUCUAAAGCUAAAUACUGGCGAGAGACCGAUAGCGAACAAGUACCGUGAGGGAAAGAUGAAAAGAACUUUGAAAAGAGAGUUAAACAGUACGUGAAAUUGUCAAAAGGGAAGCGUUUGACACCAGUGUUGUUUUCUCGAAAAUCAAUUAAAAAUGGUGGGAUUUUGUGUUGUAUUGACUUUAUCAGCUUUCUGCACUUUUUUCCUAUCUUUUUUAAUGCACUUUUCGUUUAACAAGUCAACAUCAAUUUCUUUUGCUGUAAAAGAGUCAUUGGAAGGUGGCUUUCUUUUCGGAGAAAGUGUUUAUAGCCUUUGACUUCUGCAGUCGGAGAGAUUGAGGUCUGCAGCGUAGAUCCUUCGGGGUUAGAUACAUUUGUGCUAAGUUAUAGCCUUUCAUAGACAACUUGUUGACUAUGAUCAGUCAUGUAGCUUACUCGCUUAUGCUAUUUUACCUACGCUUAGGAUGUUGAGUAGCGACAUACGCAC
RNAcentral lists this ribosomal RNA (774 nucleotides) under uncultured Neocallimastigales. Its description in RNAcentral is "partial large subunit ribosomal RNA". It matches the Rfam family "Eukaryotic large subunit ribosomal RNA", at positions 24 to 649 of the family's 3401-position model. Lineage: Eukaryota; Fungi; Neocallimastigomycota; Neocallimastigomycetes; Neocallimastigales. The record is from RNAcentral.